This 846-nucleotide unclassified non-coding RNA is filed under the name Hevea brasiliensis (rubber tree). Lineage: Eukaryota; Viridiplantae; Streptophyta; Magnoliopsida; Malpighiales; Euphorbiaceae. The record is from RNAcentral.
GCUAUGCCGUCGUCUUUCUAUCCAACAUCACAACGGCAAUAUACCUUGCCACCAUAGCGCGUAUUGGAAAAUCAAGUGGCCUUAAUAGCUUUGGCCUAAUGUGGUGCAAUGGAAUCGUCUGUGGACCUUUCUUACUUCUUUGGUCACUUAUUCGUGGUGACCUGGCACUGACAAUGGAUUUCCCUUACUUAUUUUCACCAGGGUUCCUGGUUGUAAUGCUUAUGUCUUGCAUAUUGGCAUUUUUCUUGAACUACUCUAUAUUUCUCAACACAACCCUGAAUUCAGCUGUCACACAGACAAUAUGCGGUAACUUGAAGGAUCUUUUCACAAUCUCACUAGGAUGGUUCAUAUUUGGCGGGCUUCCAUUUGAUUUGUUGAAUGUCCUUGGACAGCUUCUGGGAUUUGUUGGCUCUGGUCUCUAUGCCUACUACAAACUCAUGGGAAAGUGAUUAUUAAGUAUGAAUGUUCAUAUGAUCUUUCCCGAAGAGUUAUAAUUUGCACCAUUUUUUUGCCCCUAUUUUUGUUUCGGCAAUUAUGUGAUACUCGAAGAGACAAACAUCGGGGUUGUAGAAGUGCCAGUUUGACUUAAUGUUACGGAGAAUCAAUUGAGAGAACUGUAACUUGGUGGAUGAUCGAGUCCCAGCAGUUCAGGGCCUUGGAAAAGAAGAAUUGCCCCACAAGAACGAGAUAAACUUAAUUAGUUAAGAUGUACAAGAAAUAACGACAUUCCUUAUCAUGAACAAAUUUGUAAGUUAUAUCAAGUGUUAGACGAGAUUCGUCAUGGGCAAUUGGUGACCCGAGGGAUGGAACUGUAUAUACAAUUUUAUGCAGAUUUUGCUAUUAAUG